UGAAUAACACUACUUUCUAAACACAUAUU
This 29-nucleotide small RNA is filed under the name Bombyx mori (domestic silkworm). RNAcentral describes it as "ovarian small RNA-31047". The record is from RNAcentral. Lineage: Eukaryota; Metazoa; Arthropoda; Insecta; Lepidoptera; Bombycidae.